This 441-nucleotide ribosomal RNA is filed under the name uncultured bacterium. Its description in RNAcentral is "partial 16S ribosomal RNA". It matches the Rfam family "Bacterial small subunit ribosomal RNA", at positions 338 to 795 of the family's 1533-position model. The record is from RNAcentral.
CCUACGGGAGGCAGCAGUGGGGAAUAUUGGACAAUGGGGGAAACCCUUAUCCAGCGACGCCGCGUGAGGGAAGAAGGUUUUCGGAUUGUAAACCUCUGUCAGUGGGGACGAUAAUGACGGUACCCCCGGAGAACCAGCAUCGGCUAACUCCGUGCCAGCAGCCGCGGUAAUACGGAGGAUGCGAGCGUUAUCCGGAUUUAUUGGGUUUAAAGGGUGCGUAGGCGGGAUGCCAAGUCAGCGGUAAAAAUGCGGUGCUCAACGCCGUCGAGCCGUUGAAACUGGCGUUCUUGAGUGGGCGAGAAGUAUGCGGAAUGCGUGGUGUAGCGGUGAAAUGCAUAGAUAUCACGCAGAACUCCGAUUGCGAAGGCAGCAUACCGGCGCCCUACUGACGCUGAGGCACGAAAGCGUGGGUAUCGAACAGGAUUAGAUACCCCUGUAGUC